GGAAUCUUCCACAAUGGGCGAAAGCCUGAUGGAGCAACGCCGCGUGUGUGAUGAAGGCUUUCGGGUCGUAAAGCACUGUUGUAUGGGAAGAACAGCUAGAAUAGGAAAUGAUUUUAGUUUGACGGUACCAUACCAGAAAGGGACGGCUAAAUACGUGCCCG
Molecule: ribosomal RNA, 161 nt
Filed under: uncultured bacterium
Lineage: Bacteria
Description: partial 16S rRNA
Rfam family: Bacterial small subunit ribosomal RNA
Source: RNAcentral